ACGGAGAGCGAAGGGGACUCGCCGGGGAUCCGCUGUACUUGCGUCAGCUAGAGUAUACCAAUCCCUUGCCCCAGCACAGAAGAGCUUCUCCUCAUCAACUGGGGAUGAUUACAGUUCUUCCUAAAAAAGGAUGGCUGCUCUUUUUCUAAAGAGGUUAACACUACAAACUGUAAAGUCUGAAAAUAGUUGCAUUAGAUGUUUUGGUAAACACAUCGUGCAAAAGACAGCACCAACACAGUUGUCCCCUAUUGCUUCUGCCCCAAGACUCUCCUUCCUAAUUCAUGCAAAAGCCUUUAGUAACGCUGAAGACACCCAGAAUGAAGGAAAAAAGAAAAAAAAGAAUAAAACAGCUUUUAGUAACAUUGGAAGAAAA
Molecule: small RNA, 373 nt
Filed under: Pongo abelii (Sumatran orangutan)
Lineage: Eukaryota; Metazoa; Chordata; Mammalia; Primates; Hominidae
Description: processed transcript
Source: RNAcentral